GACAGCUUGGCCGAGUGGUUAAGGCGAUGGACUUGAAAUCCAUUGGGGUAACCCUGUAAUGGGCUAAGGCUGCCA
This 75-nucleotide transfer RNA is filed under the name Globisporangium ultimum DAOM BR144. Its description in RNAcentral is "Pythium ultimum DAOM BR144 tRNA". Lineage: Eukaryota; Oomycota; Peronosporomycetes; Pythiales; Pythiaceae. The record is from Rfam by way of RNAcentral.